Molecule: non-coding RNA, 862 nt
Organism: Camellia sinensis
Lineage: Eukaryota; Viridiplantae; Streptophyta; Magnoliopsida; Ericales; Theaceae
Source: RefSeq, a predicted model, not a curated record
GGAGGCUCCUCACUAUGUGAAGUGUGGGCUGGAGCUAACAAAGUUUGCCGCUUAGAAGAUAUAUAACAUGUGCUCCGACCUUGGUGGCUUUUUUCUCAAGGUUGCCCAAAUCAUUGGGAAGCCUGACUUAGCCCCGGCUGCAUGGGUUAGAAGGCUUGUUACGCUGUGCGAUCAAUCCCCUGCAACCCCAUAUGAUGUCAUCUGAGUGGUGCUAGAGAAGGAGUUGGGUCAAAGUUUAGAUGGAUUGUUCAAAAGAUUUGAAGUGAAUCCUCUUGGUUCUGCUUCUAUUGGUAACUGAGGUGCACCGAGCGAGAUUAAAAGGUGACAAAAGAGAUGUUGUUGUCAAGGUAAGGAUACUUUAACUUUGCUUCCCCUAUAUGUUUUACAGGUUUAGACUGAUAUGGUGAUGUAGGUGCAACAUCCUGGUGUUCAGUAGUUGAUGAUGACAGAUAUUCGUAACCUGCAAGCUUUUGCAUUAUACAUGCAAAAGACAGAUAUCAAAUUCGAUCUCUUCUCUAUAACUAAGGAAAUGGAGAAACAGGUGUGCAUAACAUUUCAACCUGGUAUUUUAAAUGAUUUUGUGGCAACAACUUGUGCUUUCUGUUCAUAAAGCCCGUGAAACCUGAUCAUAAUUUUGUCUUGCCAAAGAAAAGGGAAAAACGUAAAAUUGGAGAGAAAAAAACUGAGGAUAAAUGUUGAAUGUGCUUUACUGUUUUUAUCUUGUGAUGGGAUACAAGAGCCAUCAGUCUUUUGAAACCCUACUUGAAUAAUGUACAUGAUGAUUGAGUGAUGACAUAAUAGUUGUUCAAUCAAUAAGCCCAAUACAGUACUAUUUAUUGAAUGGAGAGUGUAGGAUUAUAUA